GAGAAGUUAGUAAAUCCAUUACAUGGCCUUGUCAAGGCCAAAUCACAGGCUAAAUCCCUGUACAUCUCA
Molecule: transfer RNA, 69 nt
Filed under: Tinamus guttatus (white-throated tinamou)
Lineage: Eukaryota; Metazoa; Chordata; Aves; Tinamiformes; Tinamidae
Description: tRNA-Asp
Source: RNAcentral